This 497-nucleotide ribosomal RNA is filed under the name uncultured bacterium. RNAcentral's name for it is "partial 16S ribosomal RNA". It matches the Rfam family "Bacterial small subunit ribosomal RNA", at positions 28 to 507 of the family's 1533-position model. The record is from RNAcentral.
GAUGAACGCUGGCGGCGUGCCUAAUACAUGCAAGUCGAGCGAACGGACGAGAAGCUUGCUUCUCUGAUGUUAGCGGCGGACGGGUGAGUAACACGUGGAUAACCUACCUAUAAGACUGGGAUAACUUCGGGAAACCGUAGCUAAUACCGGAUAAUAUUUUGAACCGCAUGGUUCAAAAGUGAAAGACGGUCUUGCUGUCACUUAUAGAUGGAUCCGCGCUGCAUUAGCUAGUUGGUAAGGUAACGGCUUACCAAGGCAACGAUGCAUAGCCGACCUGAGAGGGUGAUCGGCCACACUGGAACUGAGACACGGUCCAGACUCCUACGGGAGGCAGCAGUAGGGAAUCUUCCGCAAUGGGCGAAAGCCUGACGGAGCAACGCCGCGUGAGUGAUGAAGGUCUUCGGAUCGUAAAACUCUGUUAUUAGGGAAGAACAUAUGUGUAAGUAACUGUGCACAUCUUGACGGUACCUAAUCAGAAAGCCACGACUAACUACGUG